This 252-nucleotide ribosomal RNA is filed under the name uncultured bacterium. Its description in RNAcentral is "partial 16S ribosomal RNA". It matches the Rfam family "Bacterial small subunit ribosomal RNA", at positions 1240 to 1500 of the family's 1533-position model. The record is from RNAcentral.
CAAAGGGCAGCUACACAGCGAUGUGAUGCUAAUCUCCAAACCAUGUCUCAGUUCGGAUCGGAGUCUGCAACUCGACUCCGUGAAGCUGGAUUCGCUAGUAAUCGCGCAUCAGCCAUGGCGCGGUGAAUACGUUCCCGGGCCUUGUACACACCGCCCGUCAAGCCAUGGGAGCCGGGGGUACCUGAAGUCCGUAACCGCGAGGAUCGGCCUAGGGUAAAACUGGUGACUGGGGCUAAGUCGUAACAAGGUAAC